AUUUUUAAUAGUAAAAAACAUACAAUUUACCAUUUUAACCAUUUAAGUAUACAAUUCAGUAAUACUAAGGAUAUUCACAUUGUUGUCUAGCCAAUCUCCAGAACUUUUUUAUCUUGCAAAACGAAAAGUAUACCCAUUAAAACAUUGUUGCCCCAUUUCUCCUCCACAGCUUCUGUUAAUCUGCAUUCUACUUUCUGUUUCUCUCAGUUUGACUACUUUAAUUACCUCAUAUAAGUGGAAUCAAACAAUGUUUCUCUUUUGUAAUUGGCUUAUUUUAUUUAGUAUAAUAUCCUCAAGGUUUAUUUUUGUUGUAGCUUAUGACAAGAUUUCCUUCACCAGAAGGCUGAAUAAUAUCCCAUUGCAUCUAUCAAUUCCAUUCAUUCAUCAGUUGACACUUGGAGUUGCUUCGAUCUCUUGGCUAUUGUGAAUAGUGCUGCUUUGAAAAUGCACUAUAGGCCAAGUACAGUGGCUCAUGCCUGUAAUCCCAGUAUUUUGGGAGGCUGAGGUGGGCAGAUCACAAGGUUAGGAGAUCGAGACCAUCCUGGCCAACAUGGUGAAACCUGUCUCUACUAAAAAUACAAAAAAUUAGCCGAGCAUGGUGGUGAGUGUCUGUAGUCCCAGCUACUUGGGAGGCUGAGGUAGGAGAAUGGCUUGAACCCAAGAAGUGGAGGUUGCGGUGAGCUGAAAUCAUGCCACUGCAUUCCACCCUAGGCGACAGAGUGAGACUCUGUCUCAAAAAAAAAAAAAAAAAAAAAGAAAGAAGAAAAAAUGCACUACAGACAUACAGUUCUGAGUUCCUGCUUUCAGAUCUUUUGUUCAGCAUAGUAUUGGAAGUCUUAGCUAGAUCAGUUACUAAGAAAAAUAAGUAAAAGCCAUUCAAAUUCGAAAGCGGUAAGUACAACUAUCUCUUUGCAGAUGACAUGAUCUCAUAUGUAGGAAACGAUAAAGAUUCCAAAAAACAGCAGAACUGCAGCAAUUUGUAUUUGCAGCAGAAUUACAGCAAAUUGUAUUUGCUGAAUACAGCACGGUUGCAGGAUACAAAAUAAAUACACAAAAAUCAGUUGCAGCUAGGCAGAUUACUUGAGUCCAAGUGUUUGAGACCAGCCUGGCCAACAUAGAGAAGCCCCAUUUCUACUAAAAAUAGAAAAAUUAGCUGGACAUAGUGACAUGUACCUGUAGUCCCAGCUACUUAGGCAGCUGAGGUGGGAGGAUCACCUGAGCCUGGAGAGUUGAGGCUGCAGUGAGCCAUGAAUGUGAAGCAGGAUCGCUGAGGUUCAUUGUCCCACACUAAGGAAAGUGAAGACGUGGUUGCACAAGGUGUGCGUUUAAGAGUGGAAAGUUUAAUAGGCGAGAGAAACAGGAAGAAAGCUCCCCUGUGUAGAGGGAGGGGUUUCUAAACGUCUCCCUGUUCACAGUGUGAUGCAUUUGAUUUUAUAGAGGGGCUUCAGGAGGUGGUGACUAAUUUACAUAGGGCCUAGUGGAUUGGUUGGACCAGGUGUGCCACUUAGCCUGCAAAGAGGCUGGCCAUCUCACCCUAAUCUUUUAUCAUGCAGAUGGGGUCUCUACCUGGCUGGUGCCAUGACACUCACACCCAUGGCAACAAAGAGAAGGGCGAAGAAGACCUCCAUGUUUGAUAUACUUGUCUUCUGGCACACCUGCUGACAUUCACCUAUGCAAGCUUACAGCUGGCUUAUGUAUGCUUGCAGAUUGAUUUUUCAGGCUGCUUUUUGUUAGAAAAUAAAGGAUUUUGGGGUUGCUUUUUAUUAAAAGAAAAACUUUACUGAGUACAUCUGUACCCUCACUAACUGUCUAAAUAAUUUCUUUUUAAAUCUUAUAUCAGUUGUGCCACUGCACUCAAGGCUGGUCAGCAGAGUGAGAGCCUGUCUUAAGAAAAAGAAAAAAAUGUAAAAAAAAAAUCUCAGAAACAUAGAAAUUACCACACUUUUUCCAUAGUGGGUGCAUUAUUUUAUCAGCCUAUAAACGGUGUACAAGGGUUCCAGUUUUUUACAUUCUUGCUGAUGCUUAUCAUUUUCUAUUUUUUUUUAUGGUGGCCACGUUAAUGGGUGUAAUGUGAUAUCUUAUGGUUUUGAUUUGUAUUUCCCUUAGGAGUAUGACUUUUAAAACUUUUCUUAGGUAAUUUAGUUUUUAUUCCUAUUUGUUGUAUUUGGUUCUUUUAAGUGUGCCUGACCUUUUUUUCAUUUGAGAUUUUGUUUCUUGUUCAUUUGUUUCUUACAACAUAUUAAACAUAUAUAUUUUGUAUUCUAUUUAUGAUAAUUAUGACAUCUAUAGUCUGUGGGUCUGAUUAUGCUGCCCAUUGUUUCUGUUGACUUCCAUUCAUGGUACUUUAUUUCCUUGUUUACGUUAUGACUUUUAUUUUUUUUUUCAGAAUGUGAAUUCAUCUUUGGAACUGUAAUCGGUGGGGUUCUUCAAUGUUUUUGUUGGGGAUGUAUUCCUCCAGAGAGGUUUUAUCUGUUUUCACUAUUCCUGGGGCAACACUGUUAAUGAAGAGCACUUUGGGUUAAAAUUUUUAUUUGUGGUUAUUGACCCCAUUAGGCAGUAUCAAUUGACCUCAUAAACCUUCAUAGUUACAAAUUCUUAGGAGAUACUCCCUCCCCGACUUUUAUCCAGUGGUAUGAUUAAUUCAGGCAUGUUUAUUUUCUGGCCUCUUCUUCAGAGUUGGGUUACUUUUGAUGCAUGCUUACCUUUCUGGUGCAGCCCUUGAGUAGGCCCUUUGUGCAGGCCUAUUUUUCUAGCCCUUUGUACCGGCCUGACUUCAGUUUUCUCUAGUUUUUGUACUCCAUGUAGUUGAGAAUAGGAGGCUUAAUGUCACCACAAUUUAUGAGAACUCCUCAGGGUGAAAGCUAGCUGAAGACUCCCUUGCUCCUUAGGGCUCCUUGAUUGAUUUUGCUUUUUGACCCAGUGAGAUUCCAUAUUUUCUUAUCAGGUCAGUGCAGCAUUUUAAAUUUUAUCUAGCUCUUUAAGUUUUCAUCAGGAGAGUUUUUUGGCAUCUGUGGUCUGCCAUACUGCUGGAAAUGGAAUUUAGGCAUCUCAUUUGAUGGGUGUCUUUUCUACUUCCCCUUACUCCUGCCACCUUGAGGCAGGAGCGAGUGUCCCAAAGGAGUGGAGGUCACUGAUUGCGGGAGCUACAUGUUCUCUUGUCUUCUGUGUCUACAGAACCCAGACCAGGAUCGAUUUCACAGGACGUGCCAGCCACUGUUACUGCCUGACCACAGAAGCUUGAGAGUGAACCUACAGAGACUAGAAAUUGGGUAGUUGGAGAGAGGAAGGUAGAAUAACAUCAGGGAGGGAAAAAUAUUUGUCAUCCUUUCUGGAGGGCUAAGGGGGUAUAGGAGGAGUGUUUGAGCAAGAUUGAUUGUAUGUAUGCAUGCAUAAGUCUCAGAAUUGGCUGCAAAGGGGCAGAUGGAAUCAGAAUUUGCUGAGUGUGGUUUGUUUUUAUGGGUUCAUAGGUAGACGAUGCAGUGAACUUCCUGGCAGGCUGACAGGGUAGAAGUUCAUUGGAGAGAUUGGGCUUAAAGCCUGCCUGAGAGAGCAUGGGGAGUCUGUGGAUUAGUCCCUUGGUGAGGGCUCUGGCCACACAACAUUGAAGUUGUAUUUUAAGAUUACCAGGACAACCAGUUGGUGAUGGGGUCAUUUGGGCCAUGGUGUGUGUGUAGGGUACUAAACCACUCCUGAUACUCUUUUUCAUGGCCACAUAGCAUUUUCACUUUAUCACUGUUUAUGUGCCUUGUGAUUUGGGAGCUGUUGGUUUGCCCCUGAGAGCAGCUCACUGAGCAUCCAUUCACCUCCUCCCGGUGAAUGGAGGAGAAGAGACUAGAGGCAUUAGUGUUCCACUGCUCUGUCCCUGUUAUGGGAGGAAAUGGAUUUGAGGAGCUACUUUACUGAGUAUUUUUGCACUCAAGGCCCUGGACUCUGUAGUUGAGUCGUAAGGAUAGGGGCAAUUGGCCCUUUGGUGAUACAUGCCUGGAACAGGUUCAGCUAGGGGAUGGCAGAGGGGACAGAUCCCCUGGUAUGUCUAAUAUAUUGGAGAAGAUUAGGAAGCAGAACUGGGGAAGAUUAGGAAGAUGAUGCUGAGGGUUUUAUUUUAGGCUUCAAGAAAGGCUUUUGGAUUCUCAUAGAAAAAAAAAAAUCACCUCUCAAGGCCUCUCCUGAGGGCAGUUGCCCAGCUCUUGUGUUUACUGGACUCUGUAAGCAAGCACUGUGUGUAUAUACGCUGGAGAUCAGACCCAGCUACUAUGUAAGUGUUGGGUAUACCAUUGUGAUCAGACUCAGCCUCCCAGCAAGUGUGCUUUGGGUAUACAGUGGAGCUCAGACCCAGACUAGAACAGAUAGUAUUCAUGCAAUGGUCUCACAAACAGCACGGAAGGACAGCGGCCUAUGAAGGGCAUGCUGUGAGUAGCUGACAGAGGCGGUCUUGGCUCAGUCGUCGGGAAUUGGUCAGAAACGGUGUGACUGAGCUGACUUCAGGGCCAGGUGGAGCCUCAUUUGGUCGGCAGUGACGGAGGAAUUAAAAUGAAUUUUAGGCAAGUAAGGCCACAUUUGCUUGAAUAGUGUUUAUACUUGUUCUUUGUACUUGGGCAUUUUAAUAGAAGGGUUACAUAUGCCUAUGUCAAGACACCAUGAAUGCUAUAGCUAGAGAUACAAAAGGACCUGAGUGUGUUGCAUUGAUGAUGACUUGUAUCACAAACACUGAUACUAUUGGUGAUAUAAUUUUUCAAAAUGGUGAACAAGUGUUGGUAAAGUUCUGAUAAAAAGAUUUUCAUUUUCUCUACUAUUAGUGUGUUUACUAUACUAUAUUAAAAUUGUGCAAAAGAUGUUUUAUGUUUAUAUGAAUCUGAGUUUGGUUCUAAGCCCAAGUUAAAUCAUUGCCCAUAGGUUUUGGCAGGACGGAUGGAAGUCCCUGUGAGGGUAUGAGACAGGUGUCGUUUGCGGGACUGACCCGCACAUUGUGGGACUGCUGUAACCCUUUUCACCUCUUCUCCCAUUGUGACAACCAACCUUCUCCCUCAACAAAUUUUAAAGCACCUUCUGGGUGCUCUACUUCCUCCUUCCACUAACUGCUGCUGUUCUGGGUGUAGCAGGGAGACAAGGAUAUGACCCCAGGUGGGAGAGCUAUUGGAGAUGUGCAGAGAACGGUUGUCGGUCUGUUAUUGCUUUUGUAAAAGUGGCCCAUAGUGAGUUGUCUAGACAAAUCACAAUGCAUACGAAGUUUAAUAUCUUAAAAUGAGAAAUUAACUGGCCAGGUGGUUUGCCAGCAGUCAUCACCAUUUUGAAAAUAUUGGCAUGGAGUCCCUAUGGUGCUGAGAUAUUUUCGUCGCCUGAAUCCUUGUGGAAACUCCCAUCAUCACUGUGUGCAUGUGCAAAUCCCCCUACUCCUAUAAUUAAUUUCUGUGAGCUCUGCGGAUAAACAGGGAUGCCUCCUGGCUUCUGUUUGCAUUUCCCUUAGCAGUACUGCAUUCUGUCAGCUUAUUGACAGGGCCAAGGUGACUGGUUUUCCAUUAAUCAAAAUUACUAAAGUGUGACUGGAAAACGAAGUAGAUGCCCUUGGAGACUAACACCUUCUAAGUCUGUUGUGAUUUUGUUCUGCAUUGCUGGGCAAGUCACUUUUUCCAUGCCUUAGCUUCCUCAGUGGUUAAGUGGGGGUUACUACAACCUCAAGAAGUUGUGAAGGGAAUUAAAUGCAUUGCCAUCAGUAAAAAUGUUUAGCACAUUUGCCAUAAUUGAUGCAGAUUUUUAAAAAUAUGGAACACUUAUGAAUUUGUGUGUCAUCCUUGUCGACCGGCCAUGCUAAUCUUCUCAGUAUUGGUCCAGUUUUAGUGUAUGUGCUGCCAAAGUGAGCACUCAGAUUUGUUUAAAAAGAACUAACAGAUCUGGUUGGCCUUCCACUCCCACCCACCACCCCAUCUCAUCUCCCACUUUCCCACUCCAGUUUCCCUCCCUCCCCUGUGGUUACCCCUUCUGUGAAGAGCUGGCGUGUAGCCUUCCAGUUCCAGUUUUAUACUCCUGCACUGCACAUAGUAUCUAUCAACAACACAAGAGAAUUGCUUUGUGGAUUCUUAGACUUUGUGAAUAAAGACAGCUGCAUCUUCCCAGUUCAUCAUGGCUUCAACAUCCAGAGAUGUCAUUACUGGGAGAGGUACCCACUCAAAGGUGAAGUCUGCAAAGCUACUUGAGGUUCUGAAUGCUAUGGAGGAGGAAGAGUUCAGCAACAACAGGGAAGAGAUUUUCAUUGCACCUCCUGACAAUGCUUCAGGGGAAUUUACUGAUGAGGACUCAGGUGAUGAAGACAGCCAGCGAGGUGCUCACCUUCCUGGCAGUGUGCUGCAUGCUUCAGUCCUGUGUGAGGACUCUGCCACCGGGGAGGAUAAUGAUGACCUGGAGCUGCAGCCGGCCAAGAAGAGGCAGAAAGCAGUUGUGAAGCCUCAGCGUGUUUGGACCAAAAGAGAUAUUCGUCCAGACUUUGGAAGUUGGAUGGCAUCAGAUCCUCAUAUUGAGGAUCUGAAAAGCCAAGAACUGAGUCCUGUGGGCCUUUUUGAGUUGUUUUUUGAUGAAGGAACAAUUAAUUUCAUUGUUAAUGAAACCAAUCGUUACGCUUGGCAGAAAAAUGUCAAUCUGAGUCUUACAACUCAGGAAUUGAAGUGUGUUUUGGGCAUUUUGAUUUUAAGUGGGUACAUCUCUUAUCCAAGGAGAAGGAUGUUCUGGGAAACCUCUCCUGAUUCACAUCAUCAUCUUGUAGCUGAUGCAAUUAGAAGGGACAGAUUUGAACUAAUCUUCUCAUACCUACAUUUUGCAGAUAACAACGAACUUGAUGCAAAUGAUAGGUUUGCCAAGGUCAGACCUCUCAUCAUCCGGAUGAACUGCAAUUUCCAGAAGCAUGCACCCUUGGAAGAGUUCUACAGCUUUGGGGAGUCUAUGUGUGAGUACUUUGGGCACCGGGGGUCCAAGCAGCUGCACACAGGGAAGCCUUUGCGAUUUGGGUACAAGAUUUGGUGUGGGACAACCAGCAGAGGCUACUUGGUUUGGUUUGAGCCCUCACAGGGCACACUUUUUACAAGGCCAGACAGGAGCUUGGAUUUAGGAGGCAGUAUGGUAAUAAAAUUUGUGGAAGCACUUCAGGAGCGUGGUUUUCUGCCAUAUCACAUAUUUUUUGACAAGGUUUUUACAAGUGUUAAACUGAUGUCCAUUUUGAGGAAAAAGGGGGUGAAGGCCACAGGAACUGUUCGUGAGUACAGGACUGAGCGAUGUCCCCUAAAAGACCCCAAAGAACUAAAAAAAAUGAAGAGGGGUUCAUUUGAUUACAAAGUUGAUGAGAGUGAGGAGAUCAUCGUGUGCCGCUGGCACGAUAGCAGCGUGGUCAACAUUUGCUCCAAUGCUGUGGGUAUAGAGCCAGUGAGGAUGACUAGUCGUCACUCUGGAGCAGCUAAAACGCGGACUCAGGUCCACCAACCAUCGCUAGUGAAGCUGUAUCAGGAGAAGGUGGGGGGUGUUGGUCGGAUGGACCAGAAUAUUGCCAAGUACAAGGUGAAGAUCCGAGGCAUGAAGUGGUACUCAAGCUUCAUUGGCUAUGUCAUUGAUGCGGCCCUCAACAAUGCAUGGCAGCUACAUAGGAUCUGCUCCCAAGAUGCCCAGGUGGACCUCCUUGCCUUCCGGAGAUAUAUUGCCUGUGUGUAUCUGGAGAGCAAUGCUGACACGACCUCUCAAGGGAGGCGAAGCAGGCGGCUCGAGACUGAGAGCCGCUUUGAUAUGAUUGGGCAUUGGAUUAUCCACCAGGACAAGAGGACCCGAUGUGCCCUCUGCCACUCACAGACCAAUACCCGGUGUGAGAAGUGCCAGAAGGGUGUCCAUGCCAAGUGCUUCAGGGAGUACCACAUCCGGUGACAUCGUGAGACAUGCUUGUUUGGUUUAUAAUGAGAUGUUUAUGGCCCAUUACAGAUUGCAAUUCACACUGAAAUUGGGAGGAAAAUGCAGAUUUCCUGUGGAGACCCAACCUAGUUUCCCCACGUAUUAACAUAUCAACAUGUAUCAGGUAUUUCAGGACAGCCACGCGCGAGUGCAUGUCCGUGGAGAAACUGAGCAAGAGUGUCCUUGCUGAUUUGUGGCGUCACCAGAGGGCGCACGAACCCACCCUUGACCAACUUCCCUCUGAGGUACCAGAAGUAGCUAGGAGCUUCGACUUCCUCAGGGAAGCACGAGGGUCGUGUUAACUAAAUGUUGUUCAUUGAUCUCUACGAGCAUAAGUUUAUCAACUCUCGGUUUAUCAACUCCACCUUUCUGGAGCAGAAGGAGAGCUGCCACAUGGACUUGGAGCAAGAUAAUGACUUCCUGAUUUACCUCAUCAGCUUCCCAGGAGGGUUGUCUGUCUUACCCGGGAACAUCAUUUCUGCCCUGCUCAUGGAUAGGAUUGGAAGACUCAGGAUGAUCGGGUAACAGCCUUUGGCAUUCUCAAUGGAUUACGCAAAUUUGGCACCGUCUUGGGAAACACCAUCUUUGCUUCCUUUGUUGGGAUAACUAAAGUGGUCCCCAUCAUUCUGGCUGAUGCUUCUCUGGUUGGGGGUGGCCUGAUUGCCCUUCGACUGCCAGACACUUGAGAACAGGUCCUGAGGUGAACAACCUAUGGGAAAAGGAAAGGUGGAAAGAAUCUGGUCCAGGACACUAAAAUGCAUCCACACCUCCUGCCUGUCACUGUCCAGAGGACACCUUGGAUAGCACAGGAGAAGAAGUUGACUUUGUGACCCCUAGUUUAGGAUACACUUCAGCUGUCAAUUUGUUUGGAACUCAGGUGACUGAUUUGGGGGAUGCCCUGAGGCACCCUUAGAAUCAAAGAGCUGCGUGUUUAACUUGAGGUCUUCCCAGACCAAGGCAGGGAGAGGAUUCUCCAGUGAGUGCAUGAGUGCACACACUGAGGAGCAUCAUUUCUCUACGUGAAGUGCAAGGACUUAUUUGCAUUACCAAAGGAAUUAGAGGGUAAGAAACACCCAACCUCCUCCGUAAAGUUCCUUGGAGCCCAACAACUUAACCAAUCAGCUUAGCUGAAAAUUAGAGUCAUUAUAUGAAGAUUGGGCUUGAAGAAUAGGAUACACGUAUUUUUUGCAUUUAAAAGUAUCACAUAUCAUAUUUUCAACUUGAAAGUGGGCACGAUAGCAUUGAAGAUACUCUGAUAUAGACAGAGAAAUAUCUGAGCAACAUCUAUAGAGAUCUACUUUUCCCCGAAGUGUCUUAGGCUUUCCUUGAGAAUUAGCUGAUACAUUUAAGCAGGAUAUUUAUUUCUGUUUUGCUCUAUUCAAAGAAACUUAAUGAGAUAGAUAUUCCAUAAACUAAGCUUGUAUAUAACUUUAUUUGGGUUUAAUUUCCACACUGGCAUCUGCAAAUACUGCCGGCAUUUUAGCCAUAUUUUGGGAGAACUUGGUGUUGGAGGUCCCAGGAAAUGAGGUCUGAUCAAAUGAAACGCAAGCACAAUUUCUUACAGCCAUUUAACUUUCUGUGGGGACGACACACAUAACAAACUCAUAUUGUGCAGUCCACGUAGUCCAGGCACUUUUCUUUGUGCAGGUGGAGUGAGUAGUUACUUUUCACUCUUACACAGAUGACUUGUGAAACUCAAGCUCUCCAUCUUCCAAGCUGGCAUUUGACUUCGGCAAUCCCCCAAAAACAAUGUGAGAUGCGUUCAGUGCCCUCUUUGUAGGCAAGAAUCGGACAACAUGGGGACUGAGGGAAGGAUGGGGAGGUGUAGCCACAGUUCUUCUAAGUGUAAAUACCUUUUUUUUUGUUUUAGUGGUAAAAUGCGAUGUAUAUUUGUUAGGAUGGUCAGGUCUCAUGAGAAAUCCCUGCUAUGUUACCAGGGCCUUUGAAACAAUCCAUUGGAGUGGGAGUUAGGGGGUGUAGUGGAUACCAAAUAUGUUUUUCUUCAGUGCAUAAGAUAAUUCUUUCCUGAAAUCCAAUUUUGAACAUAAACCGGGGGCAGGGGGUGGGGAGAAACUGAGGACAAGCCACUCCGAUGAAGGUCAGCAAUAGACUGUGUUGACUGCAUGGAAGAGGAACAGCAUCAGAACUUCUGACAAUGGAGAGGAGAGUGGACUUGAGCCUGCCCUGGCUGGAUGAAGAUCAGCCUGCAGGAACUACAUUGAGUUAAUUCGCAAUGCUCUCAACGGCUGCAAAGUGCCACUUUUUUCCUGUCAGAGAUCUCCAAAAGUUUAAAACAGACUCAUCAUGGCUACCUCAAGUGUUUUCUCAGUUUUGGGGACAUGCUUAGGUCCCAUGACAGCUUCGGACAUCUUUGUGUAAUUUUCCUCCUGUAACAAGUUGGAAGAGGCAAAUCUUAACAACACUUUACCACCCUUUAUUUGAGAUCGGUUUUAAUGGUUCAAAUGUUUACUCUCCUUCUGCCCACCCUCACCUUUUUUUUAUUUUUUAUUUAUUUUUUAUUUUUUACUGCAUUUUAGGUUUGGUGGUACAUGUGCAGAACAUGCAAGACAGUUACAUAGGUACACACAUGGCAGUGUUUUGCUUCAUUUCUCCCCUUGGGAAAACUGGCUAGCCAUGUGCAGAAAGUGGAAACUGGACCCCUUCCUGACACCUUACACCAAGAUUAACUCCAGAUGGAUUAAAGACUUAAACAUAAGACCUGGCACGAUAAAAACCCUAGAAGGAAAUCUAGGCAAAACUAUCCAGGACAUAGGAGUAGGCAAGGACUUCAUGAACAAAACACCAAAAGCAUUGGCAACAAAAGCCAAAAUAGACAAAUGGGACCUAAUCAAACUCCACAGCUUCUGCACGGCAAAAGAAACAGUCACUAGAGUAGAUCGGCAACCAACAGAAUGGGAAAAAAAUUUUGCAGUUUACCCAUCUGACAAAGGGCUGAUAUCCAGAAUUUACAAAGAACUCAAACAGAUAUACAGAAAAAAAACAAGCCCAUUCAAAAGUGGGCAAAGGAUAUGAACAGACACUUUACGAAAGAAGACAUAUAUGACACCCUCACCUUUUUAUUCACACCUUUCCCUUUGUUUUUUCUAUACAGGGAGAGAAGAUAUAUUCACUCUGACUUGACACCCUGAUUCCUCCAAAUAUAUAUGCCACUGUGUAUUAAUAUUUCUCUCAGUGUGUUAUAGGAGUUACCUAACAAUGCUGUGCCAAGAAUGAAAAGCUGGAUGUAAUAUAGCUGUAAUUUACCUUCCAUAUGAAUACAGUGGAUAGGUUCCUAAAAGAGAAUUGUGUGAAUCUGGGAUUGCCACAUCUAAAACAUUAUUCUUUUAUGGAAUGAUAACAAUUCAUGGACCAGCUACCGCUUAAGAAAUUCACAGGACAGUUAGAGCCUGCAUGUCUAGUUAAGAUGGAUUAUAUAAAUUUAAAAUUGGAUUAACUUGCAAUCCCAGUACUUUGGGAGGCUGAGGCGGGUGGAUCACAAGGUCAAGAGAUCGAGACCAUCCUGGUCAACAUGGUGAAACCCUGCCUCUACUAAAAAAAUACAAAAAAUUAGCUGGGCAUGGUGGUGCGUGCCUGUAAUCCCAGCUACUCAGGAGGCUGAGGCAGGAGAAUUGCCUGAACCCAGGAGGCGGAGGUUGCGGUGAGACAAGAUUGCGCCAUUGCACUCCAGCCUGGGUGACAAGAGCGAAACUCUGUCUCAAAAAAAAAAAAAAAAAAAAAAACCGCUAAAAU
This is a non-coding RNA of Callithrix jacchus (white-tufted-ear marmoset), 11670 nucleotides long. The record is from RefSeq and is a predicted model, not a curated record. NCBI's taxonomy places the organism in Eukaryota, Metazoa, Chordata, Mammalia, Primates, Cebidae.